RNAcentral lists this ribosomal RNA (598 nucleotides) under uncultured bacterium. RNAcentral's name for it is "bacterial SSU rRNA". The stretch from base 1 to 512 matches the Rfam family "Bacterial small subunit ribosomal RNA", at positions 338 to 873 of the family's 1533-position model. The record is from RNAcentral.
CCUACGGGAGGCAGCAGUGGGGAAUCUUGCACAAUGGAGGAAACUCUGAUGCAGCGAUGCCGCGUGAGUGAAGAAGGCCUUUGGGUUGUAAAGCUCUUUUGUAGGGGAAGAUAAUGACUGUACCCUAAGAAUAAGGUCCGGCUAACUUCGUGCCAGCAGCCGCGGUAAUACGAAGGGACCUAGCGUAGUUCGGAAUUACUGGGCGUAAAGCGCGCGUAGGCCGUUGAGUUAGUUAAUUGUGAAAUCCCAAAGCUUAACUUUGGAACUGCAAUUAAAACUGCUCGACUAGAGUUUGAUAGAGGAAAGCGGAAUACAUAGUGUAGAGGUGAAAUUCGUAGAUAUUAUGUAGAACACCAGUUGCGAAGGCGGCUUUCUGGAUCAACACUGACGCUGAGGCGCGAAAGUAUGGGUAGCAAAGAGGAUUAGAUACCCUCGUAGUCCAUACCAUAAACGAUGAUUGCUAGAUGUUGGAAAUUUAUUUUCAGUAUCGCAGCUACGCAUAUACAUACGCCGUCGGGUAGGUACGACCGACGAACGUUAAACGUAACAAUAGAAUAGACGGCGUGAGACGUGCCGACGACGACGACGAGGGAGUAGG